UCACCCUCCCUGAGUUUGACAGUUCCUCAUCCAGCACCCAGUGGGACAGGAUGGUGCUAAAGGUCCCACAUUGGAACCUCGCUAGUUGCCGUGAUUUGAGUGUCUUACAUGGAGCCAUUGCUACGUGGCAUAAGGAGAAUCCCCGGGUGGGUCUUCGGAAAAUUCUUCUCUGAGGGGCAGAGAAAACACUUCCUCUAGACAGCAAUGCUGGCGAUCCAUGACCCCCUGCUGUGUGUCAGCCAGUCUGGGCUGCUCCUCACAUACUCCAUCCUGGGGGAAGUCCAGCAACUGAUGGGGGACAAGCUGGAGGAUGUCACAG
Chelonoidis abingdonii (Abingdon island giant tortoise) is the source of this 319-nucleotide non-coding RNA. Lineage: Eukaryota; Metazoa; Chordata; Testudines; Testudinidae. The record is from RefSeq and is a predicted model, not a curated record.